ACUCCUACGGGAGGCAGCAGUCGGGAAUUUUGGGCAAUGGGCGAAAGCCUGACCCAGCAACGCCGCGUGAAGGAUGAAGUCUUUCGGGAUGUAAACUUCGUAAGAAUAGGAAGAAUAAAUGACGGUACUAUUUGUAAGGUCCGGCUAACUACGUGCCAGCAGCCGCGGUAAU
This 172-nucleotide ribosomal RNA is filed under the name uncultured Blastocatella sp. RNAcentral describes it as "partial 16S ribosomal RNA". It matches the Rfam family "Bacterial small subunit ribosomal RNA", at positions 335 to 524 of the family's 1533-position model. The record is from RNAcentral. Lineage: Bacteria; Pseudomonadati; Acidobacteriota; Blastocatellia; Blastocatellales; Blastocatellaceae.